Abrus precatorius (Indian licorice) is the source of this 2212-nucleotide RNA transcript. It is a transcript of the gene named proline--tRNA ligase, cytoplasmic, with no coding region annotated. The record is from RefSeq and is a predicted model, not a curated record. Lineage: Eukaryota; Viridiplantae; Streptophyta; Magnoliopsida; Fabales; Fabaceae. The transcript has 15 exons.
GAGUAAAAAGGCGAAGAAGAAAUUAAAAAACGAGAGAAGGGCGCAAUUAUCUGAAAGCGAAAACCCUAGGGUCAACCGUGACGCUACAAUCGCUCUCUCACGUUUCAUUCGCAUUCGGCAUCUUUGCAACGAGAUCAGGUGCUCGUAUUUCAAGAUGGCGGGAACGGAAGCCAAAAACGCCAAAAAAUCUGGUGGUAAGAAGAAAGAGGUGAAGAAGGAGACUGGCUUAGGACUUACGCAUCGGAAGGCUGAAAACUUCGGAGAGUGGUAUUCCGAGGUUGUUGUUAAUGCGGAAAUGAUUGAGUACUAUGAUAUAUCUGGUUGCUACAUUCUCAGGCCUUGGUCAAUGGCGAUAUGGGAGAUCAUGCAUGAGUUUUUUGAUCCCGAAAUUAAGAAAAUGAAGAUCAAGAACUGCUAUUUCCCUUUGUUUGUGUCUCCUGGAGUUUUGCAAAAGGAGAAAGACCACGUUGAGGGAUUCGCUCCAGAGGUUGCUUGGGUGACAAAGUCCGGGGAAUCUGAAUUAGAAAUUCCUAUUGCUAUUCGUCCAACUAGUGAAACUGUCAUGUAUCCUUACUACUCUAAGUGGAUAAGGGGACAUCGGGACUUGCCUUUGAAACUUAAUCAGUGGUGCAAUGUUGUUAGAUGGGAGUUCAGCAAUCCCACACCAUUCAUCAGGAGUCGUGAGUUUCUUUGGCAGGAAGGGCACACUGCUUUUGCAACAAAGGAGGAAGCAGAUGCAGAGGUUCUUGAGAUACUAGAAUUAUAUAGGCGUAUAUAUGAAGAGUAUUUGGCAGUUCCUGUCAUAAAGGGUAAGAAAAGUGAACUUGAGAAGUUUGCUGGUGGACUUUACACUACCAGUGUUGAGGCAUUUAUUCCAAACACUGGUCGUGGUAUACAAGGUGCAACUUCUCACUGUCUGGGCCAAAAUUUUGCUAAAAUGUUUGAGAUAAACUUUGAAAAUGAGAAGGGAGAAAAAGCAAUGGUCUGGCAGAACUCAUGGGCCUACAGUACUCGAACUAUUGGGGUGAUGGUGAUGGUUCAUGGUGAUGAUAAGGGAUUGGUACUACCUCCUAAAGUAGCAUCAGUACAAGUCAUUGUGAUUCCUGUGCCUUACAAAGAUGCUGAUACUCAAGGAAUAUUUGAUGCCUGUACUGCAACUGUGAAUACAUUAUGUGGAGCAGGUAUUCGUGCUGAGUCAGAUUUUAGAGAUAACUACUCUCCUGGAUGGAAGUAUUCUCAUUGGGAAAUGAAAGGUGUUCCUCUAAGAAUUGAAAUUGGGCCGAAGGAUUUAGCAAAUAAGCAGGUUCGUGCUGUUCGACGCGAUAAUGGUGCAAAGAUAGACAUUGCCAGUGCUAAUUUGGUUGAGGAAGUAAACAAUUUGCUUGGUAUUAUUCAGCAGAACCUGUUUGAUGUUGCAAAACAGAAACGGGAUGAAUGCAUUCAGGUCAUACAUACUUGGGAUGAAUUUCUGCAAGCUUUGAACCAAAGAAAAAUGAUCUUAGCUCCUUGGUGUGAUGAGGAGGCUGUGGAAGCAGAUGUCAAAGCAAGGACAAAGGGUGAGAUGGGAGCAGCUAAGACUCUUUGUAGCCCAUUUGAUCAGCCAGAACUCCCAGAAGGCACCAAGUGCUAUGCGUCAGGAAAACCUGCAACAAAGUGGUCAUACUGGGGCAGAAGUUACUAGACUAUUAGCUCUUGAUGGUUGUAUUUUCUGGAGCUAGUUUGAUACCGGAUUUGUGGAUCUCACAAAUAUUAGUUUUUCUUUUCAUGGUAGAAUCACUUUUCAGAUGUGGUGCGGAAUUGUUCGUGGUCCAUCAUAAGUUGUUAAGUCCCAUAGGCGAGAGAGCUUUCAUAUAUGCCGAUGCACGACUGAGUAUUACCACGCAUUUACAUGAUAGUUCCAGCAUGCAUGCAUUGUUACAAUUGGGAGAUAUAAUAUGUAACAUGGCUUCAGAAAUUUGCUAGUGUUUCAUUAUUAAUGACUAUUUGUAAGAGCGGAAUUUGCAUCAAGCACGUCUCACCCACAAAGGAUGUGUCAGGAAAAUGUACCGAAUAAAAAAGAAUGGGGCCAAUAGAAGUAGGCUUCCAUUUUGGCAAAUCAUUGUAUCCAUUUUCUACUUUUCAUUUCACAAAUCAUUUUAUGAUUGUACGUAUGUCAACAUUUAACCAGUUUCUACUUUUCAUAUGCAUAGUUAAUUCUACAACUUCAUUUAGU